GACGAACGCUGGCGGCGUGCUUAACACAUGCAAGUCGAACGGAAAGGCCCUGCUUUUGUGGGGUGCUCGAGUGGCGAACGGGUGAGUAACACAUGAGUAACCUGCCCUUGACUGUGGGAUAACUUCAGGAAACCGGGGCUAAUACCGGAUAGGUGCUCCUGCUGCAUGGUGGGGGUUGGAAAGUUUCGGCGGUUGGGGAUGGACUCGCGGCUUAUCAGCUUGUUGGUGGGGUAGUGGCUUACGAAGGCUUUGACGGGUAGCCGGCCUGAGAGGUUGACCAGCCACAUUAGGACUACGAUACGCACCAGACUCCUACGGGAGGCAGCAGGGGGGAAUAUUGCACAGUGAGCGGGAGCCUGAUGAAGCAGCGCCGCGUGCGGGAAGAAGGCCUUCUGGUGGUAAACCGCUUUCGCCUGUGACGAAGCGUGAGUGACGGUAGUGGGUAAAGAAGCACCGGCUAACUACGUG
RNAcentral lists this ribosomal RNA (468 nucleotides) under uncultured bacterium. RNAcentral describes it as "partial 16S ribosomal RNA". It matches the Rfam family "Bacterial small subunit ribosomal RNA", at positions 28 to 507 of the family's 1533-position model. The record is from RNAcentral.